Molecule: ribosomal RNA, 433 nt
Filed under: uncultured bacterium
Lineage: Bacteria
Description: partial 16S ribosomal RNA
Rfam family: Bacterial small subunit ribosomal RNA
Source: RNAcentral
AACGAACGCUGGCGGCAUGCCUAACACAUGCAAGUCGAACGAGACCUUCGGGUCUAGUGGCGCACGGGUGCGUAACGCGUGGGAACCUGCCCUUAGGUUCGGAAUAACUCCCCGAAAGGGGUGCUAAUACCGGAUAAUGUCUUCGGACCAAAGAUUUAUCGCCUUUGGAUGGGCCCGCGUUGGAUUAGCUAGUUGGUAGGGUAAAAGCCUACCAAGGCGACGAUCCAUAGCUGGUCUGAGAGGAUGAUCAGCCACACUGGGACUGAGACACGGCCCAGACUCCUACGGGAGGCAGCAGUGGGGAAUAUUGGACAAUGGGCGAAAGCCUGAUCCAGCAAUGCCGCGUUAGUGAUGCAGGCCUUAGGGUUGUAAAGCUCUUUUACCCGGGAUGAUAAUGACAGUACCGGGAGAAUAAGCUCCGGCUAACUCCGUG